GAGCAACGGGUGAGCAACAGUCUGAGUGAAAACCUUCACAUUUCUACUUCGAUCUUAAGAAAGCCAUACAGGUUUGGAACCAAGUGAAAGUGGUGACCAUAGACCUGCAUUAUAUGACUGACAGACAAGAAUAGUUUGACCUAAAAAAUUGAAACUACUGCGGAAACAAAGACACCUACAUCUUGGACGUCCUUAAGGUAAGCUAAAACAUGCCAAAAUUUAAUUUCAAAGUGAACUAUCCCUUUAA
Long non-coding RNA from Carassius gibelio (silver crucian carp), 247 nucleotides. RefSeq lists it as uncharacterized. The transcript is spliced from 3 exons. Lineage: Eukaryota; Metazoa; Chordata; Actinopteri; Cypriniformes; Cyprinidae. The record is from RefSeq and is a predicted model, not a curated record.